This 561-nucleotide ribosomal RNA is filed under the name uncultured bacterium. Its description in RNAcentral is "partial 16S ribosomal RNA". It matches the Rfam family "Bacterial small subunit ribosomal RNA", at positions 356 to 941 of the family's 1533-position model. The record is from RNAcentral.
UGGGAAUCUUGCGCAAUGGGCGAAAGCCUGACGCAGCCAUGCCGCGUGAAUGAUGAAGGUCUUAGGAUUGUAAAAUUCUUUCACCGGGGACGAUAAUGACGGUACCCGGAGAAGAAGCCCCGGCUAACUUCGUGCCAGCAGCCGCGGUAAUACGAAGGGGGCUAGCGUUGCUCGGAAUUACUGGGCGUAAAGGGAGCGUAGGCGGACAUUUAAGUCAGGGGUGAAAUCCCGGGGCUCAACCUCGGAAUUGCCUUUGAUACUGGGUGUCUUGAGUGUGAGANAGGUAUGCGGAACUCCGAGUGUAGAGGUGAAAUUCGUAGAUAUUCGGAAGAACACCAGUGGCGAAGGCGACAUACUGGCUCAUUACUGACGCUGAGGCUCGAAAGCGUGGGGAGCAAACAGGAUUAGAUACCCUGGUAGUCCACGCCGUAAACNAUGAUUGCUAGUUGUCGGGAUGCAUGCAUUUCGGUGACGCAGCUAACGCAUUAAGCAAUCCGCCUGGGGAGUACGGUCGCAAGAUUAAAACUUAAAUGAAUUGACGGGGGUCAUAGCUGUUUCCUG